Molecule: ribosomal RNA, 441 nt
Filed under: uncultured bacterium
Lineage: Bacteria
Description: bacterial SSU rRNA
Rfam family: Bacterial small subunit ribosomal RNA
Source: RNAcentral
AACGCGAAGAACCUUACCUGGGCUUGAACCGCACAGGACCAGCUUCAGAAAUGAGGCCUUCCCGCAAGGGACCUGUGUAGAGGUGCUGCAUGGCUGUCGUCAGCUCGUGUCGUGAGAUGUUGGGUUAAGUCCCGCAACGAGCGCAACCCUUGUCCUGUGUUGCCAUACCGAAAGGUGGAACUCGCAGGAGACCGCCAGGGAUAACCUGGAGGAAGGUGGGGAUGACGUCAAGUCCUCAUGGCCUUUAUGUCCAGGGCUACACACGUGCUACAAUGGACGGUACAAAGGGCUGCCAACCCGCGAGGGGGAGCCAAUCCCAAAAAACCGUUCUCAGUUCGGAUUGCAGGCUGCAACUCGCCUGCAUGAAGCUGGAAUCGCUAGUAAUGGCGGAUCAGAACGCCGCCGUGAAUACGUUCCCGGGCCUUGUACACACCGGUACUA